Molecule: ribosomal RNA, 468 nt
Filed under: uncultured bacterium
Lineage: Bacteria
Description: partial 16S ribosomal RNA
Rfam family: Bacterial small subunit ribosomal RNA
Source: RNAcentral
GAUGAACGCUGGCGGCGUGCUUAACACAUGCAAGUCGAACGGUGAAGGCGGAGCUUGCUCUGCUGGAUCAGUGGCGAACGGGUGAGUAACACGUGAGCAAUCUGCCCCUGACUCUGGGAUAAGCGCUGGAAACGGCGUCUAAUACUGGAUACGAGCUGCGAAGGCAUCUUCAGCAGCUGGAAAGAACUUCGGUCAGGGAUGAGCUCGCGGCCUAUCAGCUUGUUGGUGAGGUAACGGCUCACCAAGGCGUCGACGGGUAGCCGGCCUGAGCGGGUGACCGGCCACACUGGGACUGAGACACGGCACAGACUCCUACGGGAGGCAGCAGUGGGGAAUAUUGCACAAUGGGCGAAAGCCUGAUGCAGCAACGCCGCGUGAGGGACGACGGCCUUCGGGUUGUAAACCUCUUUUAGCAGGGAAGAAGCGAAAGUGACGGUACCUGCAGAAAAAGCGCCGGCUAACUACGUG